RNAcentral lists this small RNA (670 nucleotides) under Pongo abelii (Sumatran orangutan). Its description in RNAcentral is "processed transcript". The record is from RNAcentral. Lineage: Eukaryota; Metazoa; Chordata; Mammalia; Primates; Hominidae.
CUGGAGAAAGACUGAAUUCUUACUCUUCAAAGAAAAAUAUCAAAAGAGGAGGAUGAUGUUCAAACUAUCACUGAUCGGCCUGCUCUUCAGGUUUGUUAACAUUCUGGGAACAAACUUCAACAUCAACAACCUCAAAUUCUAUGGCAGUAUCCAAUCCUGCGUCAAGCCUGAAUCCCGGGACCAGACCUAAUCCCAGGACAAGCACCAAUCCCAGAAUGAACCCCAAUCCUGGGACAAGCCCAGAUCUCAAAAUGACCUCAGUCCCAAGAUGACUCCAAAUUCCAAGACAAGUCUGAAUAGAGCAGUGACCCCAAAGAUAGCCACAACUAUGAAUAUGAACACUGUGACAAAUGGUAGCACCAUAUUCAAUCCAAUGGACACCACUUAUUUUCUAUGUAGUAUUUUCACUGUUUUGUGUACACUUGCACUCAGGCUGAAGUGAACUUCAACUGCCUGCAUUCUUAUCUCAGUUUCUUAUUAUCUGCUGAAUGACAAGCAUGCUAGGAAAAUAUCAUUUAUUUCAACUUACUAUUUAAGAAAUUAUCAUUAUCUUAACUUGAUUUUUUUUGCAAAUUAUAAUUGUGUAUGUUUAAAUAUUAACUUAAUAUGAUGUUUUCCUUCCAUAUGAAAAAAGUAUGCACUACCUUAUUAAAUGCUGAAACAAGCAAAA